UGAACGCUGGCGGCGUGCUUAACACAUGCAAGUCGAACGAACCUUCGGGUUAGUGGCGGACGGGUGAGUAACGCGUGGGAAUCUGCCCUCAGGAGGGGGAUAACGGCCGGAAACGACCGCUAAUACCCCAUAUGCCGAGAGGUGAAAUGAAUUUCGCCUGAGGAUGAGCCCGCGUCUGAUUAGCUAGUUGGUGAGGUAAGAGCUCACCAAGGCAUCGAUCAGUAGCUGGUCUGAGAGGAUGAUCAGCCACACUGGGACUGAGACACGGCCCAGACUCCUACGGGAGGCAGCAGUGGGGAAUUUUCCGCAAUGGGCGAAAGCCUGACGGAGCAACGCCGCGUGAGGGAUGAAGGCCUCUGGGCUGUAAACCUCUUUUAUCAAGGAAGAAGAUCUGACGGUACUUGAUGAAUAAGCCACGG
RNAcentral lists this ribosomal RNA (419 nucleotides) under uncultured Synechococcus sp. Its description in RNAcentral is "bacterial SSU rRNA". It matches the Rfam family "Bacterial small subunit ribosomal RNA", at positions 30 to 496 of the family's 1533-position model. Lineage: Bacteria; Bacillati; Cyanobacteriota; Cyanophyceae; Synechococcales; Synechococcaceae. The record is from RNAcentral.